Molecule: non-coding RNA, 542 nt
Organism: Phoenix dactylifera (date palm)
Lineage: Eukaryota; Viridiplantae; Streptophyta; Magnoliopsida; Arecales; Arecaceae
Source: RefSeq, a predicted model, not a curated record
CCCUGGCUACACCGGAGGCAUGGAGUCGCAAAGAGCUUCCCUCUUCUUCUUGCUGCUCUUGGUUUGCGUCCAGGUUCACAUCUCUAGGGGUGCAGAAGCCAGGCCACUUCCCUCUGCCAAACAAGAACGAUAUGUCCAAGUAUUGGAGUCACUGGGCCUGAACUGCAGGUGCUGCGACGGAGCAGGAGGCGAGUGCAGGAGCACCUGGGAUUCCACUUGUGCUAAAUUGGAUUGCCAUCCCUGGAAAUUCUAGUGUUCCUGGCAUCACAAGUUUGAUGAUUUCUUCAGCUUGUACACAUCACUUUCGAAGAGACUGUAAUUAAAAGCACCAAAUAAUACUGCAAAUCAUACUUCUAGUGAAAAAAAAAAGCAGAAUAAACGAGCAUCGAGUAGAUUGCAUGUAGACAGAGAAGAAAACUUUGUGAAUGCCAACACAAGUUCUCUAGAAUUGAUCUGUAUCACGACUAAUCUUUUAUCAUGCCUCUACUUAUGCAGAUCAUGAAAACUAUAGAAUUGAGGGUACGAUUGAAGAAAACCCAAUA